UUUAUGGAGAGUUUGAUCCUGGCUCAGGAUGAACGCUGGCGGCGUGCCUAAUACAUGCAAGUCGAGCGAACGGACGAGAAGCUUGCUUCUCUGAUGUUAGCGGCGGACGGGUGAGUAACACGUGGAUAACCUACCUAUAAGACUGGGAUAACUUCGGGAAACCGUAGCUAAUACCGGAUAAUAUUUUGAACCGCAUGGUUCAAAAGUGAAAGACGGUCUUGCUGUCACUUAUAGAUGGAUCC
RNAcentral lists this ribosomal RNA (242 nucleotides) under Staphylococcus aureus. RNAcentral's name for it is "partial 16S ribosomal RNA". It matches the Rfam family "Bacterial small subunit ribosomal RNA", at positions 1 to 232 of the family's 1533-position model. The record is from RNAcentral. Lineage: Bacteria; Bacillati; Bacillota; Bacilli; Caryophanales; Staphylococcaceae.